RNAcentral lists this ribosomal RNA (439 nucleotides) under Acanthomacrostomum sp. CEL-2014. RNAcentral's name for it is "partial 16S ribosomal RNA". Lineage: Eukaryota; Metazoa; Platyhelminthes; Dolichomicrostomida; Dolichomacrostomidae. The record is from RNAcentral.
UUCUGGUUAGUUUGGGUUUACGAGUAUCCCCUGCCCAAUGAUUUUGAUUGAAUGGCCUCUUUUGAGCUAAGGUAGCGUAAUUAGUUGUUUCUUAAAUAGUUACUUGUUUGAAUGGGGGAACCGGGGAGGGUAGUUUUUUUUUCAAAAAGUGUGAAUUUGGCUAAGAGUAAAAAAUCUCUUAAAUUUUAAAGGGACGAGAAGACCCAAGAAACUUUCAUAUAAAGGUGAAUGUGUAUGUUUAAUGGGGUAUUGACAUUAAAAUUUAAUUUUUUUGUUUAGGAGAUGAUUUUGUGCAGUAAAAGUUACUUUUGGGGUAACAGGGCAAUGGGAUUUUGGAGUUCUGAUCCAAUUUCAUGUUUGCUACCUCGAUGUUGAAUUAGGUUUUUUUUUCUGAGCAAAAGAAGAAAAAGUAGGGCCUGUUCGGCCUAUAUUACCUACA